AUGGCAUCAUGGCAAGGGGCUCCGCAUUCACCUGAGCCAACACUGUCAGCACUACUACUCCGUCGUUGGUCAUUACGUUGCUCUGCUCUUGUAGCCCAAGUCCUUACAAGGACCUCACGCUGGCACUUCCAAGUCCAAGUUUUAGAAGCGCUCCUCGGAGAGCUAAAUCAACAGCGCGGAGCCAGGCGGAGCACUAUGGGCGGCACAGGAAGGAAGACGGCUGCAGGCCAGCAGCUCCUUCAGACGCAGAGCCUUACACCGAGGCAAGUGACGCACAGUAGGAACGUGCACACUCGGGCGUCACCGUGGCACCGCAGGGGAGCAAGAACUGAAGAGCACAGUUCAGAGACAUGGAGAAUAUUCACUUCACCCAGAGGAAAUGUGAAGAGGAACCUCUCUGUUUGGGAUGAACAAGGCCUCUCUAAAGUGAUUUGAGGGGUACAGCUAUCCAGACACAUUGAAAAUAAAAAGGAUCCCGUAUAAGACCAUGAGAAAGCCUCAUCAUUAAUUGCAUUUUUUGUGGUUUAAAAUUGGCAUACAGUGACAAAAAAAAAAAAAAGGAGUAUAGAGUGACUGAGCUUAUCUAUUACACACACAAAUACACACACGUGUGCACACUUACACUCUGUUGCCUGGUGUCCAGGCUUAAACCAAGGCUGAACUGUCACCUCUCUGCUCUACCUAUGCAAACACCAAAACAUCUCGAUCUCCACCCUCAGAGCCAGCCCUGACACCACGACCUGGCACCAAUCCGGUGGGGACAUCGGGAGGGUAGCUGAGGUGGAACACAAACAUGGGCCCCUGUGCGGAAGGCACCUCAACAUUUUUCAUUAGAGGGAUGUGUGAACAAAUUGUCUUUGCUAGAAAGCUUUGGUUGGCUAGCCUUCUAGUGCAGAAAAAAAACUGAGGAAGGGCCUGAACCCCAAAUUUACAGAAGAAUAACUAAAAAUAAUGAAUGAUCACCGGUAACAAAGUUAGAAAAAGGUGAAAUGCCAUUUUCCUCUAUCAAAUUAGCAAAGAACAUUAUCACGAUGGGUGUAACAGAAGGAACUGCAUCAUACACUUCCUGUGUAAAGUGAUAGAAACCUUCUGGCAAACAAUUUGGGAACUGGACCUUAAGUGUCCGUUCUCUUUGAAUCAUUUACUCUAGGAUUGCAUCCUAAGAAAAUAACCAGAAAUGUGAACAGAAAUGUAUGUACCAAAAAAUGUUUGUUGCAGUGAUAUUUUAAAAGGGAAAAAGUUGGAAACAUUCUAACUGUCCAAGUGUUAAAUGUAUUACUAUAUAUCCUCAAAACGAAAUCAUUUGCAAUCGUGAAUAGUUAAGUCUGUGACUGGAAGUCCUAGCAAUCAGGUGAGAAAAAGAAAUAAAAGGCACCCAAAUUGAUAAGGAAGAAGAAAACUUUCACUCUUUGCAGAUGACAUGAUAGCAUAUACAGAAAACCCUAGACUACCAAAAAGCUACUAGAACUAAUAAAUGAAUCCAGUAAAGUCACAGGAUACAAAAUUAAUAUACAGAAAUCCAUUGCAUUUGUAUGCCUAAUAAUGAAGCAGCACAAAGAGAAAGUAAGGAAACAAUCCCUUUUACCAAAAAUAAUAAAAUACUGGGAAUAAACUUAACCCAGUAAGUGAAAGACCUGAACUCCAAAACCUAUAAAACAUUGAUCGUAGAUAACACAGUGAUUGAGGAUGACACAAAUAGAAAGAUAUCCCAUGCUUACGGAUUAGAAGAACUGAUAUUGUUAAAAUUUCUGUACCACCCAAAGCCCCCUACAGAUUUAAUGCAACCUCUAUCAAAAUACCAACUUCGUUUUUCACAGAAACAGAACAAAUAACACUAAAAUUUGGAGGGAACCACAGAAGAACCCAAAUAGCCAAAACAAUCUUGAAAAAAAAGGACAAAACUAGAAGUAUCACAAUCCCAGGUUUCAAGAUAUACUACAAAGCUGUGGUAACCAAAACAGCAUGAUACUGGCACAAAAGUAGACACAUAGAUCAACAGGACAGAAGAGAGAACCCAGAACUCAACCCAAGACUUAUAUGGUUAAUCAAUCUAAGACAAAAGAGCCCAGAAUAUACAACAGAGAAGACAUUCUCUUCCACACAUGGUGCUGGGAAAUCUGAACAGCUACGUGCAAAAGAAUGAAACUAGACCACUUUCUGACACCAUACACAGAGUAAAUUCCAAAUGUAUUAGAGACCAUCAAAUGUGAGACCUGACACCAUAAGACUCCUGGAAGGAAACAUGGGCAGUACUUUCUUUGACAUCAGCCAUAGAAACAUUUUUCUAGAUGUUUCCACAGGGAAAGGAAACAAAAGCAGGAUUAAACUAUUGGGACUACACAAAAAUAAGAAGCUUUUGCACAGUGGAGGAAACCAACAAUAAAACAAUAAAACAAGGACAACAAUCCAAUUUGAAAAAUAGGCGGAGGACCUGAAUAGACAUUUUCCCAGAGAAGACAUCCAGAAGGCCCACAGACACCUGGAAAGAUGUGGAACAUCACUCAUCAUUGGGGAAAUGCAAAUCAAAACCAGAAUGAGCUAUCACCUCACACCCUGUCAGAAUGGCUAGAUUCAAAAAGACAAGA
This 2585-nucleotide long non-coding RNA is filed under the name Canis lupus familiaris (dog). RNAcentral describes it as "lncRNA (ENSCAFG00000054587.1)". Lineage: Eukaryota; Metazoa; Chordata; Mammalia; Carnivora; Canidae. The record is from RNAcentral.